AGUUUGAUCAUGGCUCAGAACGUACGCUGGCGGCACGCCUAACACAUGCAAGUCGAACGAAGUAGCAAUACUUAGUGGCAGACGGGUGAGUAACAUGUAGGUAUCUGCCCUUUGGCCUGGAAUAACACGAGGAAACUUGUGCUAAUACCGGAUAAGUCUUUACGGAGAAAGCUUUAUGCACCAUUGGAUGAGCCUGCACUUGAUUAGUUUGUUGGUGGGGUAAUGGCCUACCAAGACUGUGAUCAAUAGCUGAUUUGAGAGGAUGAUCAGCCACAUUGGGACUGAGACACGGCCCAAACUCCUACGGGAGGCAGCAGUGGGGAAUCUUGCACAAUGGAGGAAACUCUGAUGCAGCGAUGCCGCGUGAGUGAAGAAGGCCUUUGGGUUGUAAAGCUCUUUCGUCGGGGAAGAAAAUGACUGUACCCGAAUAAGAAGGUCCGGCUAACUUCGUGCCAGCAGCCGCGGUAAUACGAAGGGACCUAGCGUAGUUCGGAAUUACUGGGCUUAAAGAGUUCGUAGGUGGUUGAAAAAGUUGGUGGUGAAAUCCCAGAGCUUAACUCUGGAACUGCCAUCAAAACUUUUCAGCUAGAGUAUGAUAGAGGAAAGCAGAAUUUCUAGUGUAGAGGUGAAAUUCGUAGAUAUUAGAAAGAAUACCAAUUGCGAAGGCAGCUUUCUGGAUCAUUACUGACACUGAGGAACGAAAGCAUGGGUAGCGAAGAGGAUUAGAUACCCUCGUAGUCCAUGCCGUAAACGAUGUGUGUUAGACGUUGGAAAUUUAUUUUCAGUGUCGCAGCGAAAGCGAUAAACACACCGCCUGGGGAGUACGACCGCAAGGUUAAAACUCAAAUGAAUUGACGGGGACCCGCACAAGUAGUGGAGCAUGUGGUU
This 888-nucleotide ribosomal RNA is filed under the name uncultured Alphaproteobacteria bacterium. Its description in RNAcentral is "bacterial SSU rRNA". It matches the Rfam family "Bacterial small subunit ribosomal RNA", at positions 10 to 946 of the family's 1533-position model. Lineage: Bacteria; Pseudomonadati; Pseudomonadota; Alphaproteobacteria. The record is from RNAcentral.